GUGGAUUAGAUACCCUGGUAGUCCAUGCCGUAAACGUUGGGAACUAGAUGUGGGGACCAUUCCACGGUCUCCGUGUCGCAGCUAACGCAUUAAGUUCCCCGCCUGGGGAGUACGGCCGCAAGGCUAAAACUCAAAGGAAUUGACGGGGGCCCGCACAAGCGGCGGAGCAUGCGGAUUAAUUCGAUGCAGCGCGAAGAACCUUACCAAGGCUUGACAUAUACGAGAACGCUCUAGAAAUAGAGAACUCUUUGGACACUCGUAUACAGGUGGUGCAUGGUUGUCGUCAGCU
This 289-nucleotide ribosomal RNA is filed under the name uncultured bacterium. RNAcentral's name for it is "partial 16S ribosomal RNA". It matches the Rfam family "Bacterial small subunit ribosomal RNA", at positions 773 to 1060 of the family's 1533-position model. The record is from RNAcentral.